UACGGGGGGGAGCAAGCGUUGUUCGGAUUUACUGGGCGUAAAGGGCGCGUAGGCGGCGUGACAAGUCACUUGUGAAAUCUCCGGGCUUAACUCGGAACGGUCAAGUGAUACUGUCGUGCUAGAGUACAGAAGGGGCAACUGGAAUUCUCGGUGUAGCGGUGAAAUGCGUAGAUAUCGAGAGGAACACCUGCGGCGAAGGCGGGUUGCUGGGCUGAUACUGACGCUGAGGCGCGAAAACUAGGGGAGCGAACGGG
Molecule: ribosomal RNA, 254 nt
Filed under: uncultured bacterium
Lineage: Bacteria
Description: partial 16S ribosomal RNA
Rfam family: Bacterial small subunit ribosomal RNA
Source: RNAcentral